AGGGCGAACGCUGGCGGCAGGCUUAACACAUGCAAGUCGAGCGGGCGUAGCAAUACGUCAGCGGCAGACGGGUGAGUAACGCGUGGGAACGUACCUUUUGGUUCGGAACAACACAGGGAAACUUGUGCUAAUACCGGAUAAGCCCUUACGGGGAAAGAUUUAUCGCCGAAAGAUCGGCCCGCGUCUGAUUAGCUAGUUGGUGAGGUAACGGCUCACCAAGGCGACGAUCAGUAGCUGGUCUGAGAGGAUGAUCAGCCACAUUGGGACUGAGACACGGCCCAAACUCCUACGGGAGGCAGCAGUGGGGAAUAUUGGACAAUGGGCGCAAGCCUGAUCCAGCCAUGCCGCGUGAGUGAUGAAGGCCCUAGGGUUGUAAAGCUCUUUUGUGCGGGAAGAUAAUGACGGUACCGCAAGAAUAAGCCCCGGCUAACUUCGUGCCAGCAGCCGC
Molecule: ribosomal RNA, 448 nt
Filed under: uncultured bacterium
Lineage: Bacteria
Description: SSU rRNA
Rfam family: Bacterial small subunit ribosomal RNA
Source: RNAcentral